GAAUAUUGGUCAAUGGACGCAAGUCUGAACCAGCCAUGCCGCGUGCAGGAUGACGGUCCUAUGGAUUGUAAACUGCUUUUGUACAGGAAGAAACAGUUCUACGUGUAGAACCUUGACGGUACUGUAAGAAUACGUAUCGGCCAACUCCGUGCCAGCAGCCGCGGUAAUACGGAGGAUCCAAGCGUUAUCCGGAAUCAUUGGGUUUAAAGGGUCCGUAGGCGGCCUUAUAAGUCAGUGGUGAAAUCUCCCCGCUCAACGGGGAAACGGCCAUUGAUACUGUAGGGCUUGAAUUAUUAGGAAGUAACUAGAAUAUGUAGUGUAGCGGUGAAAUGCUUAGAGAUUACAUGGAAUACCAAUUGCGAAGGCAGGUUACUACUAAUAUAUUGACGCUGAUGGACGAAAGCGUGGGUAGCGAACAGG
This 420-nucleotide ribosomal RNA is filed under the name uncultured bacterium. Its description in RNAcentral is "bacterial SSU rRNA". It matches the Rfam family "Bacterial small subunit ribosomal RNA", at positions 359 to 776 of the family's 1533-position model. The record is from RNAcentral.